RNAcentral lists this non-coding RNA (835 nucleotides) under Reticulitermes grassei. The record is from RNAcentral. Lineage: Eukaryota; Metazoa; Arthropoda; Insecta; Blattodea; Rhinotermitidae.
GUUGAGUUUUAUUCUUGCUCAGUUUUGUUCAAUUGUUUGCUUGUUUUAUAUGUAAGUUUGUGCGUGAUUUGUUCUGUAAUUGGUUCUAGAUGGGCUGUAGGUUAAUUUGUUUACGUUUGUAUUUAAUUCUCAUUAGUUAUUGUUAUGUUAUCAAGUGUUCUUGUAUUUAGCAAUGCAUUUAGUUUCGGUUAAAUUUUGUGCCAGCAGCCGCGGUUAUACCUUGGAGGCGAUUGAACUUGUUUGGCUGGAGGUAGUUGUAUAAUAUUUUUUGAUGUUGCGGGUUUACUUUGAUGGUUAUUGGGUGAAAUUUUUAUUUUUAGUUUUUUCCGUUUAUUUGUUUGGAGGCUAUGAAAUUCUUAUUCUUAAACUAGGAUUAGAUACCCUAUUAUUUUUGGAUGUUAAUGUUUUGCCUGAGUAGUAUUAGUUAUGUUCUUGAAACUUAAAGAAUUUGGCGGUAUCUUAUUCCGUUCAGAGGAACCUGUCUCGUUAUCGAUAGUCCGCGUUGGACCUUACUUAGUUGUUUAAUUGGUUUGUAUACCGCCGUUUAUUGAUUAUCUUUUUAGAGAUAUAAUUUUCUCGUUUCUUUAUUUGGUUUAAUUUCAGGUCAAGGUGCAGCUUUCUCUAAGUGUAUUGGUGGGUUACAUUGUUAUUUGUUGAUUUGGAUUGUUGGUUUUAAUUACUGGCAUGAAAUUGGAUUUGAUUGUAAUGUUUUGAAGAUUGUUUUUGUGAUAAUUGGUUCUGAGAUAUGUACACAUCGCCCGUCGCUCUCGUUUGUAUUUGUUAAUGAGAUAAGUCGUAACAAAGUGGUUGUACCGGAAGGUGUAGCUGGAGUGAU